This 921-nucleotide ribosomal RNA is filed under the name uncultured archaeon. RNAcentral's name for it is "bacterial SSU rRNA". It matches the Rfam family "Archaeal small subunit ribosomal RNA", at positions 1 to 923 of the family's 1478-position model. The record is from RNAcentral.
UUUCCGGUUGAUCCUGCCGGAGGCCAUUGCUAUUGGGAUCCGAUUUAGCCAUGCUAGUCGCACGAGUUCAGACUCGUGGCGAAUAGCUCAGUAACACGUGGCCAAACUACCCUUCGGACCACAAUACCCUCGGGAAACUGAGGCUAAUAGUGUAUACCACAGUCCACCUGGAAUGAGGAUUGUGCCAAACGCUCCGGCGCCGAAGGAUGUGGCUGCGGCCGAUUAGGUAGACGGUGGGGUAACGGCCCACCGUGCCAAUAAUCGGUACGGGUCAUGAGAGUGAGAACCCGGAGACGGAAUCUGAGACAAGAUUCCGGGCCCUACGGGGCGCAGCAGGCGCGAAACCUUUACACUGCACGCCAGUGCGAUAAGGGAAUCCCAAGUGCGCAGGCAUAGAGCCUGCGCUUUUGUUCACCGUAGGGAGGUGAACGAAUAAGGGCUGGGCAAGACCGGUGCCAGCCGCCGCGGUAAUACCGGCAGCCCGAGUGAUGGCCGAUCUUAUUGGGCCUAAAGCGUCCGUAGCUGGCUGCGCAAGUCCAUCGGAAAAUCCACCCGCUCAACGGGUGGGCGUCCGGUGGAAACUGCGUGGCUUGGGACCGGAAGGCGCGACGGGUACGUCCGGGGUAGGAGUGAAAUCCCGUAAUCCUGGACGGACCGCCGAUGGCGAAAGCACGUCGCGAGGACGGAUCCGACAGUGAGGGACGAAAGCCAGGGUCUCGAACCGGAUUAGAUACCCGGGUAGUCCUGGCCGUAAACAAUGUCUGUUAGGUGUGGCUCCCACUACGAGUGGGUGCUGUGCCGUAGGGAAGCCGCUAAACAGACCGCCUGGGAAGUACGUCCGCAAGGAUGAAACUUAAAGGAAUUGGCGGGGGAGCACUACAACCGGAGGAGCCUGCGGUUUAAUUGGAUUCAACGCCGGAA